CCUACGGGAGGCAGCAGUGGGGAAUAUUGCACAAUGGGCGAAAGCCUGAUGCAGCGACGCCGCGUGUGUGAAGAAGUCUUUCGGUAUGUAAAGCUCUAUCAGCAGGGACGAAGGUGUCAAUGCCUAUCACCUAAUCAAUUGACGAUUCCGACCCAACAAGCACCGGCUAACUUCGUGCCAGCAGCCGCGGUAAUACGGAGGGUGCAAGCGUUAACCGGAAUUAUUGGGCGUAAAGGGAACGCAGACGGUUGUGUAAGCCAGGAGUGAAAGCCCGGGGCUUAACCCGUGAAUUGCAUGGGAAACUGGGCAACUAGAGUACUGGAGAGGGAGGUGGAAUUCCAGGUGUAGCGGUGAAAUGCGUAGAGAUGAGGAGGAACACCGGUGGCGAAGGCGGCACCCUGGACUGAAACUGACGCUGAGGUUCGAAAGCGUGGGGAGCAAACAGGAUUAGAUACCCGUGUAGUC
This 465-nucleotide ribosomal RNA is filed under the name uncultured bacterium. RNAcentral's name for it is "partial 16S ribosomal RNA". It matches the Rfam family "Bacterial small subunit ribosomal RNA", at positions 338 to 795 of the family's 1533-position model. The record is from RNAcentral.